CUACGGGAGGCUGCAGUGAGGAAUAUUGCACAAUGGGGGGAACCCUGAUGCAGCAACGCCGCGUGGAGGAUGACGCAUUUCGGUGUGUAAACUCCUUUUAUAUGUCAAGAAAAUGACGGUAGCAUAUGAAUAAGCACCGGCUAACUCCGUGCCAGCAGCCGCGGUAAUGCGGCGGGUGCAAGCGUUACUCGGAAUCACUGGGCGUAAAGGACGCGUAGGCGGGUUGGAAAGUCAGGUGUGAAAUCCUACAGCUUAACUGUAGAACUGCACUUGAAACUUCUAAUCUAGAGUAUGGGAGGGGGAGAUGGAAUUAGUGGUGUAGGGGUAAAAUCCGUAGAUAUCACUAGGAAUACCUAAAGCGAAGGCGAUCUCCUGGAACAUUACUGACGCUAAGGCGUGAAAGCGUGGGGAGCAAACAGGAUUAGAUACCCUUGUAGUC
This 439-nucleotide ribosomal RNA is filed under the name uncultured bacterium. RNAcentral's name for it is "partial 16S ribosomal RNA". It matches the Rfam family "Bacterial small subunit ribosomal RNA", at positions 339 to 795 of the family's 1533-position model. The record is from RNAcentral.